Melozone crissalis (California towhee) is the source of this 474-nucleotide non-coding RNA. The record is from the annotation of a RefSeq genome assembly. NCBI's taxonomy places the organism in Eukaryota, Metazoa, Chordata, Aves, Passeriformes, Passerellidae.
CGGGCAGCCCUGACCCUGCUGGAGUGCGGGGGGGACCUCCAGCCCUCUGGGCGGUCCCUGCGCCUCCUCUGCCGAGGGUCCGGGUUCAGUUUUGGGGAUUAUGGAAUGUACUGGAUCCGCCAGAGACCCGGGCAGGGGCUGGAAUACGUCGCAGGCAUCUACUACAAUGGUGCCAACACCUACUACGCGCCAUCAGUCAAGGGCCAGUUCACGAUCUCCAGGGACAACGGGCAGAGCUCGGUGACGCUGACCAUGAACAGCCUCAAGGACGAGGAUUCCGGAUCCUCUUUCUGUGCCAAGGUGGAAUCCUCGUCCUUGAGGUUGGUCAUGGUCAGCAUCACUGAGCUCGGCCCGUUGUACCUGGAGAUCCUGAACCGGCCCUUGACCGAUGGCGCGUUUGAUUUUGACAAAUUUGACCUGUUCUGGAUCCGGCAGAGACCCGGGAAGGGGCUGGAAUUCAUCGCCAGCAUCUAG